Molecule: long non-coding RNA, 440 nt
Filed under: Apteryx rowi (Okarito brown kiwi)
Lineage: Eukaryota; Metazoa; Chordata; Aves; Apterygiformes; Apterygidae
Description: lncRNA (ENSARWG00000006958.1)
Source: RNAcentral
GGAAUGAAUAUGUGACCAAGGGUCAAACUGUGCAACAAGUUCAGAAUUCAGUGGGUGCGCUAGCAAAGGCUGUCUAUGAGAAGAUGUUCUUGUGGAUGGUUGUUCGCAUCAACCAACAGCUGGAUACCAAACAACCCAGACAGUACUUCAUUGGUGUUCUGGACAUUGCUGGCUUUGAGAUCUUUGAUUUCAAUAGCUUCGAGCAGCUCUGCAUCAACUUCACAAAUGAGAAACUGCAACAGUUCUUCAACCACCACAUGUUUGUGCUGGAGCAGGAGGAGUACAAGAAAGAGGGAAUUGAAUGGACAUUCAUUGACUUUGGGAUGGACCUGGCUGCCUGCAUUGAGCUUAUUGAGAAGCCCAUGGGCAUCUUCUCCAUCCUGGAAGAGGAGUGCAUGUUCCCCAAGGCAACUGACACCUCUUUCAAGAACAAGCUCUAU